Molecule: ribosomal RNA, 326 nt
Filed under: uncultured eukaryote
Lineage: Eukaryota
Description: partial 18S ribosomal RNA
Rfam family: Eukaryotic small subunit ribosomal RNA
Source: RNAcentral
CCCUUAGAUGUUCUGGGCCGCACGCGCGCUACACUGAUGCAUUCAACGAGUCCAACCUUGACCGAGAGGUCCGGGUAAUCUUUGAAACUGCAUCGUGAUGGGGCUAGAUUAUUGCAAUUAUUAAUCUUCAACGAGGAAUGCCUAGUAAGCGUGAUUCAUCAAAUCGCGUUGAUUACGUCCCUGCCCUUUGUACACACCGCCCGUCGCUCCUACCGAUUGAGUGUGUUGGUGAGGAGUUUGGAUUGGCCUCGGAAGGUGGUUCGCCACCGUCCGUAGCUGAGAAGUUCUCCAAACCGCCCCACUUAGAGGAAGGAGAANUCGUAGCA